AGCGAACGCUGGCGGCAGGCCUAACACAUGCAAGUCGAACGGAUCCUUCGGGAUUAGUGGCGGACGGGUGAGUAACACGUGGGAACGUGCCAUUUGGUUCGGAACAACUCAGGGGAACUUGAGCUAAUACCGGAUGUGCCCUUCGGGGGAAAGAUUUAUCGCCAUUGGAGCGGCCCGCGUCUGAUUAGCUAGUUGGUGAGGUAAAGGCUCACCAAGGCGACGAUCAGUAGCUGGCCUGAGAGGAUGAUCAGCCACAUUGGGACUGAGAAACGGCCCAAACUCCUACGGGAGGCAGCAGUGGGGAAUCUUGCGCAAUGGGCGAAAGCCUGACGCAGCCAGGCCGCGUGAAUGAUGAAGGUCUUAGGAUUGUAAAAUUCUUUCACCGGGGACGAGAAUGACGGUACCCGGAGAAGAGGCCCCGGCUAACUUCGUGCCAGCCGCCGCCGUAA
This 449-nucleotide ribosomal RNA is filed under the name uncultured bacterium. RNAcentral's name for it is "partial 16S ribosomal RNA". It matches the Rfam family "Bacterial small subunit ribosomal RNA", at positions 29 to 523 of the family's 1533-position model. The record is from RNAcentral.